This 266-nucleotide ribosomal RNA is filed under the name uncultured bacterium. RNAcentral describes it as "partial 16S ribosomal RNA". It matches the Rfam family "Bacterial small subunit ribosomal RNA", at positions 524 to 786 of the family's 1533-position model. The record is from RNAcentral.
UACGUAGGGUGCAAGCGUUAAUCGGAAUUACUGGGCGUAAAGCGUGCGCAGGCGGUUUUGUAAGUCUGUCGUGAAAUCCCCGGGCUCAACCUGGGAAUUGCGAUGGAGACUGCAAGGCUAGAAUCUGGCAGAGGGGGGUAGAAUUCCACGUGUGAGCAGUGAAAUGCGUAGAGAUGUGGAGGAACACCGAUGGCGAAGGCAGCCCCCUGGGUCAAGAUUGACGCUCAUGCACGAAAGCGUGGGGAGCAAACGAGGAUGACGUAAAC